Zalophus californianus (California sea lion) is the source of this 108-nucleotide small nuclear RNA. The record is from Ensembl. NCBI's taxonomy places the organism in Eukaryota, Metazoa, Chordata, Mammalia, Carnivora, Otariidae.
GUGCUCACUUCGGCAGCACAUAUGCUGAAGUUGCAACAAUACAGAGAAGAUUAGCAUGGCCCCUUCGCAAGGAUGACAUGCAGAAUAAUAGAUACAGAGGUACCAUAC